GAGCCCGGCGUAAACCUGCGGAGGAACAUGACAGAUACAAGAUUUUCUGAAAAUAAAAGCGAGUUCACCAUGACUACGACAGAUACUAGAUAAGCGGAAGCCGUGUUCGGAGCCACCAACAGUGUCUUCCUUGGAUUCGUUCGUGCAAUAAGGAGGGUACCCGGCCUUCUUCACGUGUCGAGCAACAAGGGUGAUCGAGGAGGAUUUUCGUGGCCCGGUGGGUGUCGUGCUCUUCAACCACUUGGAGGUGGACUUCACCGUGAAGCCCAGUGACUACUGCACACAGAUGAUCAUCCAGGUGAUCGCGAUGU
Molecule: long non-coding RNA, 311 nt
Organism: Triticum dicoccoides
Lineage: Eukaryota; Viridiplantae; Streptophyta; Magnoliopsida; Poales; Poaceae
Exons: 3
Source: RefSeq, a predicted model, not a curated record